This 886-nucleotide ribosomal RNA is filed under the name fungal endophyte. RNAcentral describes it as "eukaryotic LSU rRNA". The stretch from base 149 to 302 matches the Rfam family "5.8S ribosomal RNA". Lineage: Eukaryota; Fungi. The record is from RNAcentral.
CCCACCCAAUGUGUACCCACCUCUGUUGCUUUGGCGGGCCGCGGUCCUCCGCACCGGCGCCCUUCGGGGGGCUGGCCAGCGCCCGCCAGAGGACCAUAAAACUCCAGUCAGUGAACUUCGCAGUCUGAAAAACAAGUUAAUAAACUAAAACUUUCAACAACGGAUCUGAAGGUUCUGGCAUCGAUGAAGAACGCAACGAAAUGCGAUAAGUAAUGUGAAUUGCAGAAUUCAGUGAAUCAUCGAAUCUUUGAACGCACAUUGCGCCCCUUGGUAUUCCGAGGGGCAUGCCUGUUCGAGCGUCAUUUCAACCCUCAAGCUCUCCUUGGUAUUGGGCUCCGUCCUCCACGGACGCGCCUUAAACACCUCGGCGGUGGCGUCUUGCCUCAAGCGUAGUAGAAAACACCUCGCUUUGGAGCGCACGGCGUCGCCCGCCGGACGAACCUUUGAAUUAUUUCUCAAGGUUGACCUCGGAUCAGGUAGGCUUACCCGCUGAACUUAAGCAUAUCAAUAAGCGGAGGGAUCAUUACGAGUUGAUUGAGCUGGCUGACUCUCCACAAUGUGUACACUCGUUGCUUUGGCGGGCGGGUCUCGCACGGCCCUUCGGGGGCUGGCGCGCGCGGAGGACAUAAAACUCGUCGUGAACUUCACUCGAAAAAAGUUUAUAAACUAAAAUUUCACACGAUCUCUUGUUCGGCAUCAUGAAGAACCACAAAUGCAUAGUAAUGUGAAAUUCAAAUAGAAUCUCAAUCUUUAAGCAUUCGCUUGCUAUUCAGGGGCAGCUGUUCAGCUAUUUCACCUCAGCCUCUGCUUGUAUUGGGUCCUCCUCCGCAGCCUUAAAGACUCGCGGGCGCUGCUCGCGAAAUAUAGUAUAACACACUCAUCGUCU